This 465-nucleotide ribosomal RNA is filed under the name uncultured bacterium. Its description in RNAcentral is "partial 16S ribosomal RNA". It matches the Rfam family "Bacterial small subunit ribosomal RNA", at positions 28 to 507 of the family's 1533-position model. The record is from RNAcentral.
GAUGAACGCUGGCGGCGUGCUUAACACAUGCAAGUCGAACGGAAAGGCUCCUGCUUGCAGGGGUACUCGAGUGGCGAACGGGUGAGUAACACGUGGGUGAUCUGCCCUGCACUUCGGGAUAAGCCUGGGAAACUGGGUCUAAUACCGGAUAGGACGAUGGUUUGGAUGCCAUGGUGGAAAGUUUUUCGGUGUGGGAUGAGCUCGCGGCCUAUCAGCUUGUUGGUGGGGUAAUGGCCUACCAAGGCGUCGACGGGUAGCCGGCCUGAGAGGGUGUACGGCCACAUUGGUCCUGAGAUACGGCCCAGACUCCUACGGGGGGCAGCAGUGGGGAAUAUUGCACAAUGGGCGCAAGCCUGAUGCAGCGACGCCGCGUGGGGGAUGACGGCCUUCGGGUUGUAAACUCCUUUCGCUAGGGACGAAGCGCAAGUGACGGUACCUGGAGAAGAAGCACCGGCUAACUACGUG